UCUUAUCAAGAGUGGUGGAGGGAUUGGCCCUAUGAAGCCCGGCAACCGGUAAUUUACACGGUGCUAAAUCCAACAGACGUUUUUUGUCUGAAAGAUAAGA
This 100-nucleotide non-coding RNA is filed under the name uncultured Ferdinandcohnia sp. RNAcentral describes it as "SAM riboswitch (S box leader)". It matches the Rfam family "SAM riboswitch aptamer (S box leader)". Rfam says of the family: The SAM riboswitch is found upstream of a number of genes which code for proteins involved in methionine or cysteine biosynthesis in Gram-positive bacteria. The record is from RNAcentral. Lineage: Bacteria; Bacillati; Bacillota; Bacilli; Caryophanales; Bacillaceae.